UUAAGAAAAAAGAAAAGCAAUCGAUGGAGAAGGUCGAUGGAGGAGGUCGACGCACGAUCCGUAGGCCCGGAUCGCACCUUCGGCGAGUGAUAACCGCAGGGGUGGAAUCAUUCGAACUGGGUCAAUCAAUAUAGACACCCUCUCGAGUGCGCGCGUGGGCGAGCGAGCGUCGGGGGACGCCGAGAGACGCGCGGCCAACCCAGCCCGAGGAUGUCCGAGCACCUGACGGUCCUCACGAUCCCGGAAGAUCGCUUCUGCGAGGUGAUCGACCACCUGAGACACAGCUUCUUCGCCGACGAGCCCCUCAACCACGCCGUGGGGCUCUGCCAGAGGGGUGAGCCUCACCCCGACCUGGAGAGACACUGCCUGGCCACCAUGAAGCAGGGCUACUCGAGGAUGAUCCUCAGCGAGGACGGCACGAUAGCGGGCGUGGCCUUGAACGGCACCCUGAGGAAGGGCGAGCGCGAGGAAGCGGGCCGCAAACUCCUGGAGCUCGCCGAUGAAAAGUUCAAGACCAUUUUCGGCCUCCUCUAUAAGGUCAACGAGAAGGUCGAUCUCUUUGAAAAGUACGACGUGCAGGAGAUCCUGGAGUGCCGGAUCUUGAGCGUGGAUUCCCGCUUCCGAGGACGCGGUCUGGCUAACGUCCUUAUGGCGGAUAGCAUCGAGAUCGCGAGAAGAGCCGGCUUCAAGGUACUCCUCGAGGGCGACCUUUUGCACGCUCGAACGUAGAUGUCGAACCUGUUGAGCGAGCUGCAUAUCGCUCGAAAUGUCUUUAACUAUUUCGGACCAUCAGGAACGACUGCUCGUUAUUUGUGCACCUCGAGCCCGGAUUUUCUCAGGGAGUGGAAGCUCACGAAAAUGUGGAAUAUGGACAUUUUGAGUUGCUUCAAUGAUGUACGGAUACCUGUGAACCCUGUGUAAUUUAUUACCUUUUUAGUGGGACAAAGGACAUUCAGCAGACCUGACGAUUUCCUUAUUUGUUUCAGCAUGCAAGUUUGGUUUCAGUGCAUGGGAUGAUAUUUUCGUUUGCAUCGAAUGUGUGUAAUCGUGUUCAAGGCAGACGCAACUGGGAUCUUCUCUCAGAAAGUCUGCGCCAAGCAUGGAUUUGAGAUGGAGGCUGAAAUCCCCUACGCAGAUUUA
Molecule: unclassified non-coding RNA, 1140 nt
Filed under: Orussus abietinus
Lineage: Eukaryota; Metazoa; Arthropoda; Insecta; Hymenoptera; Orussidae
Description: uncharacterized LOC105698783, transcript variant X3
Source: RNAcentral